UAUGUUAUUUAUAUUUAACUGUUUUUAUUUAUUUAUUUAUUGGUGUUUUAAAUCUUCUUUAGCAGUAGCUCUUAGUUGACAUGGUUCACAUCAUAAGGCGGUGCUGUGAUAAGCACUCUUACCUGACAGCAACUCGUCCAUCUGGCCGUUUCUGUGUGGAGUUUGUUGUUCUCCUCGUGUUUGCGUGGGUUCUCUCUGGGUACUCUGGCUUCCUCCCACAGCCCAAGGACAUGCUGUUAGUGGGGUUAGGUCAGUUGGUGAAUCUGAAUUGUCCACAGGUGUGAUUGUGAGUGUGAAUGGUUGUCUGUCUCUCUGUGUUAACUCUAUGAUAGACUCGUGACCUGUCCAGGGUGUACCCCCCCCCCUCGCCCUGUGACAACUGGGAUAGGUUUCAGCCCCCCCGUGACCCGGAUAAGUGAAAAGAAUGGAUGGCCCACAUUGUCUCAAACAUAACAUGGGGCGAUGUUUCAAGCUGGUGUAGUGUUUGUCAGCUCUGCUCCGACAGCAGAUUGACUCCUAGUCAGGCAGAUCAAAGCCAGCUAAGUGAUUAGUGUUUGCUUUUAAAUGAUUAUUUCAGAAAGCUGCAAAGCUCCAGUCUGAUUGCAUUUUCUGUCUGCAGGAGAGUUCAACUUAUCUGGGAUUUCUUUGUUUCAGAUGGCUCAAUGAAACCUAAAACCGCAGUCAGACACAACAGGCAUCAAGAUGGUAGUUGUUGACUUCUGGCUUUCUAGCUUCGGGCUGUGAUCGCUCUUUCACACGAAACGACCCAAAAGAGUGCCGCCUACUUCAGUCAGAGAUAUUAGAGUCCAGCGGUCAUGCAUGUGCGUUUGACCACUGCGCUCCUGAGUCACGAAGCGCCCGCCCAGCCCAGUCAGCAUGAUUCAUGAGUGACUCUGCUGAUCUGCGAUCAACAUUAUCUCUGCUCUGUGGGAGAAGCUGUCUCCGAGCCUCUGAUACCGAGGAGGAACGAGGAGUCUGCAAAAACAGCACGACUAACCCAAAUCCUGAGGACAUCAUCCGCUGAAUUAAAACAGAGUUAGACGUGGAAGGAUUUCUUUCUGACAUGUUUUGCAAAGACGUGAUGAAUUAUGAAUAAAAA
Molecule: long non-coding RNA, 1099 nt
Organism: Oreochromis niloticus (Nile tilapia)
Lineage: Eukaryota; Metazoa; Chordata; Actinopteri; Cichliformes; Cichlidae
Exons: 3
Source: RefSeq, a predicted model, not a curated record